Molecule: ribosomal RNA, 1029 nt
Filed under: Arthrobacter sp. CFM 20
Lineage: Bacteria; Bacillati; Actinomycetota; Actinomycetes; Micrococcales; Micrococcaceae
Description: bacterial SSU rRNA
Rfam family: Bacterial small subunit ribosomal RNA
Source: RNAcentral
UGGCUCAGGAUGAACGCUGGCGGCGUGCUUAACACAUGCAAGUCGAACGAUGAUGCCAGCUUGCUGGUGGAUUAGUGGCGAACGGGUGAGUAACACGUGAGUAACCUGCCCUUGACUCUGGGAUAAGCCUGGGAAACUGGGUCUAAUACCGGAUAUGACCUUCCAUCGCAUGGUGGUUGGUGGAAAGCUUUUGUGGUUUUGGAUGGACUCGCGGCCUAUCAGCUUGUUGGUGGGGUAAUGGCCUACCAAGGCGACGACGGGUAGCCGGCCUGAGAGGGUGACCGGCCACACUGGGACUGAGACACGGCCCAGACUCCUACGGGAGGCAGCAGUGGGGAAUAUUGCACAAUGGGCGCAAGCCUGAUGCAGCGACGCCGCGUGAGGGAUGACGGCCUUCGGGUUGUAAACCUCUUUCAGUAGGGAAGAAGCCGCAAGGUGACGGUACCUGCAGAAGAAGCGCCGGCUAACUACGUGCCAGCAGCCGCGGUAAUACGUAGGGCGCAAGCGUUAUCCGGAAUUAUUGGGCGUAAAGAGCUCGUAGGCGGUUUGUCGCGUCUGCCGUGAAAGUCCGGGGCUCAACUCCGGAUCUGCGGUGGGUACGGGCAGACUAGAGUGAUGUAGGGGAGACUGGAAUUCCUGGUGUAGCGGUGAAAUGCGCAGAUAUCAGGAGGAACACCGAUGGCGAAGGCAGGUCUCUGGGCAUUAACUGACGCUGAGGAGCGAAAGCAUGGGGAGCGAACAGGAUUAGAUACCCUGGUAGUCCAUGCCGUAAACGUUGGGCACUAGGUGUGGGGGACAUUCCACGUUUUCCGCGCCGUAGCUAACGCAUUAAGUGCCCCGCCUGGGGAGUACGGCCGCAAGGCUAAAACUCAAAGGAAUUGACGGGGGCCCGCACAAGCGGCGGAGCAUGCGGAUUAAUUCGAUGCAACGCGAAGAACCUUACCAAGGCUUGACAUGAACCAGACCGGGCUGGAAACAGUCCUUCCCCUUUGGGGUUGGUUUACAGGUGGUGCAUGGUUGUCGUCAGCU